RNAcentral lists this transfer RNA (82 nucleotides) under Echinostoma caproni. It matches the Rfam family "tRNA". From Rfam's summary of the family: Transfer RNA (tRNA) molecules are approximately 80 nucleotides in length. Their secondary structure includes four short double-helical elements and three loops (D, anti-codon, and T loops). Further hydrogen bonds mediate the characteristic L-shaped molecular structure. tRNAs have two regions of fundamental functional importance: the anti-codon, which is responsible for specific mRNA codon recognition, and the 3' end, to which the tRNAs corresponding amino acid is attached (by aminoacyl-tRNA synthetases). tRNAs cope with the degeneracy of the genetic code in two manners: having more than one tRNA (with a specific anti-codon) for a particular amino acid; and 'wobble' base-pairing, i.e. permitting non-standard base-pairing at the 3rd anti-codon position. Lineage: Eukaryota; Metazoa; Platyhelminthes; Trematoda; Plagiorchiida; Echinostomatidae. The record is from Rfam by way of RNAcentral.
GGCCUUGUAGCUCAGCUGGUAGAGCAUGCGCGUACAAAGCGUAGGCGGUGUCCAUGCGUGGGUUCGAAUCCCAUCGAGGCUA